GUGAGCUGAGUUGGGGAAACAGCCUUAAUUGUAGGUAUUAGUUGCCUGGAUGGAGUGCCUGCCUGCUCCAGGGCCAGCCUGAACCAUCUUCGCGCGUUAUCCAGCUUGAUUAUGACCUCGGCUCCAUGAUUGAGGUCACGGUACUCUCCCUGUCUCAUGGACAAUGAGGCACUGACCUCAGAAUGUGGAGGUUCGUGGCCCGUGGUUGGGGUUGGGGUCAGAGCAGGAGAUCCCAUGGGAAGGUCUGGCCCCUCUGGGCUUCUGUGUUCCUAAUUGUCCCCGCAUCAGAAGCUGUGCUAUUGGAAGAGGAGGAGAGGCUCCCAUAUGGGAGUCUAGACUCACCCGGAGUCCAACAGCUUGAGUUUGGACCAUGAGAAGACAGAAAGCACCGUCUGUCAAGGUUUCACUGGACCACGUGCUGUGUUGAGGAAGGAGAACCACGUUCUGACCCCACGUGGACUUUCCCCUCACCCUCUCUGCCUUUGCUUCCUCAUCGGGGAAUGGGGCAUCAAGCUGGAACAUCCCCAAGGUUUGCUCGCUUCUGACAUUCGGUGAUUUCAUGACUUUGCUUUUGUGGAAUAAGCCAGGGUUAUAACCUCAGUUUCCCGUCUUGUUGAUAAUUAUGUUGUCUGGGAAGGGAAUGUGUUGUGUUUCUUAAAAGCUGAUGGCAAAAUGGACAAUAUUUCCACUGUUGCUUCUUGGUCAAAACAACGAUGCUAGCGACCACCAGUAGACAUCUGCCACCUCCCCGUCCCGGGACAGCCAGCACGUCCUUAACUCCCUUUGGUGGAAAAGGUGAACCAUCUGUUAGGUGACGUGGAAAUGCACGAGGAGUCCACGUGGUCCCAAAUGCCUCAUCCCCCUCGUUUAAAAGCUUGGCAACGUGUUCCACCCAGAGGAGCUGUGACGCAUGCCAGACACGCCCAGGACUCUCUCCCGCACACACACCAGCCCUGUCUCCUCCGGGGUCUCCUCAGACUCUGAGCAGGGGAAGCUGUUCAGAUCCCCUCCCUCAAAACAGGAUUUUCUGUCCCCACACCACACUGCCUUGGUGUCUCUCCAGUUUCAAGUGCCAGAAGUGCUGCCUCCACAGGCGGGCACCCAUCCAGCUCUCUCCUUGUUAAAUGAUUGUACAAACUGUUCAGAGAGACUGUGCUCAUUUUUCUUAUUCCUUUGCUUUUGGGUUUGGAGGGGAAAACAAAGGGAAGAGAGGACGGAUAGUGCCAGGAAACUUUUUUUCUACAGUCCCUGGAGUUCUCAAUCACACGGUUACUGCCAAUAUUUUCCUACCACUCAGUUCCUUGUCCCUCAAAACCUGGGGUCAUCAUCUUGGGUCAACCACCUUGCUUAAGCGUACAGGAUGCUGGAUGGGCAGAGCCUGCAGACGGGGGUCAUUUCACAGACAGGAACUAAGGCAAGUAGAAAAUUCUGCAGUUAAACGAGAAUCGUGCAAAUAAAGCCAAGACUGUUUUUCCCAUUAGUGGAGAACUUGCUUUGUGGGCUUCCAGUGCAUGAAAAAGUAGAAUGAUCAAAACUGUAAAAUCUCCUUAGUGCAUGUUUGAGCAGAAGGAGUAGGGGGGGGGAGGAGGAAUGUCUGGUGGAGAAGGAGCUGAGGGCCCUGAGCGCUUCUUCCCGGUAAAGGGACGUACAAUUGAAGCAGGGAAAGGAGUCCUGGGGCGGGUGCCUUCUGCCUGCAUCCCCUGUAGAGGGUAAGUAGAGGCAGGAGCACUCUGGUGUCCUGGGUGCCAGACCAGCCCAGGGUGGGAAAUGGACCUGUGUGGGAAGUGCCACUUGUGACCAUGGUCUCAGCAGUUUCUCUCUUAAACAGAGAGAUUAAGGAAUUGUAGGUCGGAAGUAUAAUCGGGAGAAAUGAAAAAAUGACUAAUAAAGGGAGUUGAAAGAAAAGCUCCUUGUUUUAGAGAUUCCACAGACUGAAUUGAACCACGGAAGUUAGGAGUGCUUGUGUCCGAGCAGAACUUCCUCGAGGGCAGACGAGAGCCUGCCUGGGACACACCACAUGGAGCCCGCGCUCAGUCCCAGAUCCCCGCCUCUCACGUCCUCAUGCCCUGCAAGGCUGAGCAAUUUGUUAUAUGCCACGUGCAUCUUGACCACAUUAUUAAAAGCCACAGCUGGAAAUGUCGCCAUGCUUGUCCACCGUGGUCCGGGGAGGGGGCAGCAGGGUCAUUUCCUACAGCUCCUGCAGGUUAGGCUGCCCAAGACCGUGGUCGCCAGCGGUUUAGCCACUUGGCCACAUGGCCCCUUUGUCUCCCCUUGGGAAGCUGUCGACACCUGAGAGUGGGGUGUGUAGUGCGGCUCCUGUUUGCAUCUUGCUGCUGUUGUCUGCUUCUGUCGUCAGAGAGGAAGACUGUUGCUGUGGCCCCCUUUUGGCGCACGUCUAGGCGCAAUUUCUUGUGGAAACCUUAACUAGCGGUUUUAUGUGCCGUUAGCCUGCAGGCGUCCAGCCCUGGGCCUGGACCUUGCUCUUUCUCUUUCCACACUGAGCCUGCUUUCUCUUUAGCCAAGCUUUCCAGAGGCCAGGGGAGUUCACACUGAAAUUCAUUCAGGAGCCUGUUAACAGCCGUUGUUUCCAGUAGGGACGGGCAACAAUAUAAUGUUCACUCAAAGAGAGCAAUAAAUAACUCAGAUACAAAGCGCCUGCUCGUUCUUCAUUCCACCGAACAAGAAGAAUAAGCCCAGGGAAGCUGGCUCUCCCCGAACCCUCACAGCCCAAGCUAAUUUACUGCAAGGGAAUGAAAUCUCUUGCUUGAGUUAUAAUUUCAUUAAGGCAGCCCAAUAAUGUUACACAGGGAGUGUAGAGCUCACAUGAUUUAGUCUGGAGCAUCGCAAAAUGAAAUUACAAUUUUGUAAUAAAGCAGGGCUACCGGCCAAACACCCACAAAAAUACACUAAACCAUUGCAGAGCUCACCUUAGCGAAACUGUGAAAUAUUUAAAGAUUGUUUUAGGUCCACCAAAGCUCUCGCUUUCUAGGGUUGCCAGAAUUAUCAAGUGAAAACACAAGACAACUACUUAAAACUGAGUCUCAGAUAAACCACAGAUACUUUUUUAGUAUACAUACAUUUGUAAUAUUGUGUGGAACAUA
Molecule: non-coding RNA, 3101 nt
Organism: Equus caballus (horse)
Lineage: Eukaryota; Metazoa; Chordata; Mammalia; Perissodactyla; Equidae
Source: RefSeq, a predicted model, not a curated record